RNAcentral lists this ribosomal RNA (465 nucleotides) under Vreelandella stevensii. Its description in RNAcentral is "partial 16S ribosomal RNA". It matches the Rfam family "Bacterial small subunit ribosomal RNA", at positions 338 to 795 of the family's 1533-position model. Lineage: Bacteria; Pseudomonadati; Pseudomonadota; Gammaproteobacteria; Oceanospirillales; Halomonadaceae. The record is from RNAcentral.
CCUACGGGGGGCAGCAGUGGGGAAUAUUGGACAAUGGGGGGAACCCUGAUCCAGCCAUGCCGCGUGUGUGAAGAAGGCCCUCGGGUUGUAAAGCACUUUCAGUGAGGAAGAACGCCUGGUGGUUAAUACCCAUCAGGAAAGACAUCACUCACAGAAGAAGCACCGGCUAACUCCGUGCCAGCAGCCGCGGUGAUACGGAGGGUGCGAGCGUUAAUCGGAAUUACUGGGCGUAAAGCGCGCGUAGGUGGCUUGAUAAGCCGGUUGUGAAAGCCCCGGGCUCAACCUGGGAACGGCAUCCGGAACUGUCAAGCUAGAGUGCAGGAGAGGAAGGUAGAAUUCCCGGUGUAGCGGUGAAAUGCGUAGAGAUCGGGAGGAAUACCAGUGGCGAAGGCGGCCUUCUGGACUGACACUGACACUGAGGUGCGAAAGCGUGGGUAGCAAACAGGAUUAGAUACCCCAGUAGUC